CGGAGAGCCCCGGUUGUGCACAAACAGGGUUCCACCUCAUCAACGGUCAGUCUCCUGACUCCUGAGCACCCCUUUCAAGGUGAAGGUUCAUGAUUCUGCAAUAACGAGGACAUAAACACAGCAGCUAUGACAGGAUGUACUGCGUCAGGGAGCAGGCUACAAACCCACAUUCUGCGCAUAGAGAACAAGAGGCAUAGCUGUGUCCCAGGCGCCACUCCUCCUCCCAGCGUCUGUGAGGAGAAAAGACUAGAUGGAGCCAGCCAGGAGAGCAGAAGAUGUGGCUGCAGUUCAGCAGGCAGCAGCCCA
Molecule: long non-coding RNA, 306 nt
Organism: Pseudophryne corroboree (corroboree frog)
Lineage: Eukaryota; Metazoa; Chordata; Amphibia; Anura; Myobatrachidae
Exons: 3
Source: RefSeq, a predicted model, not a curated record